AAAAAAUUAGUUAAACCCAAUAACAUUAGUAUGUCAAACUAAAAUUAUCUCAUUUCAUAGAUAUUUUUUG
Molecule: transfer RNA, 70 nt
Filed under: Chironomus flaviplumus
Lineage: Eukaryota; Metazoa; Arthropoda; Insecta; Diptera; Chironomidae
Description: tRNA-Asp
Source: RNAcentral